AGAGUUUGAUCCUGGCUCAGGAUGAACGCUGGCGGCGUGCUUAACACAUGCAAGUCGAACGGGCUCAUAUUGAAACCUAGUGAUUUAUGAGUUAGUGGCGGACGGGUGAGUAACGCGUGGAAAACCUGCCGUAUACUGGGGGAUAACACUUAGAAAUAGGUGCUAAUACCGCAUAAGCGCACAGCUUCGCAUGAAGUGGUGUGAAAAACUCUGGUGGUAUACGAUGGUUCCGCGUCUGAUUAGCUUGUUGGUGGGGUAAUGGCUCACCAAGGCGACGAUCAGUAGCCGGCCUGAGAGGGUGAACGGCCACAUUGGGACUGAGACACGGCCCAAACUCCUACGGGAGGCAGCAGUGGGGAAUAUUGCACAAUGGGGGAAACCCUGAUGCAGCGACGCCGCGUGGGUGAAGGAGCGUUUCGGCGCGUAAAGCCCUAUCGGCAGGGAAGAAGGAGGACGGUACCUGACUAAGAAGCCCCGGCUAACUACGUG
RNAcentral lists this ribosomal RNA (489 nucleotides) under uncultured Lachnospiraceae bacterium. RNAcentral's name for it is "bacterial SSU rRNA". It matches the Rfam family "Bacterial small subunit ribosomal RNA", at positions 8 to 507 of the family's 1533-position model. Lineage: Bacteria; Bacillati; Bacillota; Clostridia; Lachnospirales; Lachnospiraceae. The record is from RNAcentral.